Molecule: long non-coding RNA, 4829 nt
Organism: Oncorhynchus tshawytscha (Chinook salmon)
Lineage: Eukaryota; Metazoa; Chordata; Actinopteri; Salmoniformes; Salmonidae
Source: Ensembl
UGGAGUUUGUUUAAAUACAGUAGAUAAUCAUGGAGUUUGUAGAAAUACAGUACAUAAUCAUGGAGUAUGUUUAAAUACAGUACAUAAUCAUGGAGUUUGUUUAAAUACAGUAGGUAAUCAUGGAGUUUAUGGCCCUAUUGGAAAAUUGUCCACAUCCAGUGUGACAGUCAUUGAGUUGGUUGAGGUUAACAUGGUUAUAGCUGCAGGUGAAGGACAGGUAAUGGACAGGUAAAGGACAGGUAAUGGACAGGUAAAGGACGGGUAAAGGACAGGUAAAGGACGGGUAAUGGACAGGUAAAGGACUGGUAAUGGACAGGUAAUGGACAGGUAAAGGACUGGUAAUGGACAGGUAAUGGACAGGUAAAGGACGGGUAAUGGACAGGUAAAGGACUGGUAAUGGACAGGUAAUGGACAGGUAAAGGACGGGUAAAGGACAGGGAGAUGAGAUUAUCCAUUUACACUGAAGGAGAUGCUCAGUCUCCAUUUGGUCUCUCCUUUGCUGUGAAGAAAACAAGUAGUUGUGCAACGACUAGAAGGUGAGAUCCACUAAUAUAUGCUCCUAGUUUGGAGCUGCUAGUUGGGAGGGCUGAGGUGUCGUAUUCUGGAUCACAUUAGUUGGUCUGAUCGAAAUGCUGCUAGACUGUGGCUGGACUGUGGCUGGACUGUGGCUGUCACAGAGGAAUGGUUUGGUGUGAGCAAUUGGAAGAUACAAUGAACACCUGUACCUGCACUCUUCUUUUGGUGCAGUAGUUGUAUUGUUGAGUCUGAAUAGGACGGGUCAUUGUACAGAUUCAACACAUUUGAAAGAAGUGUUACUGAUUUCCUAACCAUACCUAUUAUAUAGUCAACCUUUUGCCAUCAUGAUUGUGAUUCUUCAUGUUAAAAACAAGCCCUCAUUCAAGGGGAAAUACAUGUUUCAUAAAGGCAGAAUUUAAAAAAGGAUCACGGAUCGAAAACCGUUUAUAAAGAACACGUGAAGAUGUGAAAAGUCACUCCCUCCUUGUCCUUCUAAAUGUCCUAGAACAAGAGAAAGGAAUCAGUCACUCUAGCCGAAAGGGUCCCCUGAACUCACACGUCAUUUUAAUAAUAGAAGGAAUAGACAGAACUCAAGACUAGCCGACACUGAAGACAUUCCAUCAUAGCUGUGUUUCUACUCAUCCAUCGUCCCCAUCCAUCCCAAACUCAUCAAGGCACAGUCACACUCCAGGUUCCCAUGAAGAACCAUCCUGUUUCACAUGACUUAACAUUCCUGAAAGCGUUCAGAGUGACAGCCCCCACUCCCCAAACCCCAGAACACAACAAUAGUGUCCAACCCCACUAACAGAGUGGGAGGGACCAGACAGACAUAACCUGUUCGUCAAGUGCAGGCACCAUGGAAACGCUCUCAUGGUUUGUUGGUGGAAGCCCUGUUAGCUGUUGGAAUGUGUCGUUAUUGACCUUUUGUUGGGUUCGUACAAUGCAAACCACAUUCCCAUGACUAUUCUCUUAACUCUCUCCCAAAUAGCUUUUGUACUUUUGUGAUUGAUACAGGUGGUCAUCUUGUGUUUUAUUUAUUUAAAUUCAUGAAAAAUACAACUUUUUAAAUGAAUUCUUUUAUUAUAAAGUCCUGCUGUGUGUGCGUGUGGCUGAUAAAUCCUCUCCUCAUUGCUUUACGGUCCAUUUAACCAAGACACAUACACACAGUAUUGUACCAGUGCAGUGGGUCUCUGUUCAGCCCAGCCCACCUGCCGUUAGCUUAUUGUUGAGCGGUGCCUCUGAAGAGCACAAUGAGACCACUGUCAGAGGAACAAGGGCGCAGAGGAGAGAGGGGCGGAGCUGGGGGGGAUUGAGGAGAGGGGCGGAGCUGGGGGCGGAGCUGGGAGGGCUUGAGGAGAGGGGCGGAGCUGGGGGCAGAGCUGGGAGGGAUUGAGGAGAGGGGCGGAGCUGGGGGCAGAGCAGGGAGGGAUGGAGGAGAGGGACGGAGCUGGGGGCGGAGCUGGGGACAGAGCAGGGAGGGAUGGAGGAGAGGGACGGAGCUGGGGGAAGAGCAGGGAGGGAUGGAGGAGAGGGAUGGAGGAGAGGGACGGAGCUGGGGGCAGAGCAGGGAGGGAUGGAGGAGGAGGGAUGGAGCUGGGGGCAGAGCAGGGAGGGAUGGAGGAGAGGGAUGGAGCUGGUGGCAGAGCAGGGAGGGAUGGAGGAGAGGGAUGGAGCUGGGGGCAGAGCAGGGAGGGAUGGAGCUGGGGGCAGAGCAGGGAGGGAUGGAGGAGAGGGAUGGAGCUGGGGACAGAGCAGGGAGGGAUGGAGGAGAGGGAUGGAGCUGGGGGCAGAGCAGGGAGGGAUUGAGGAGAGGGAUGGAGCUGGGGCAGAGCAGGGAGGGAUGGAGGAGAGGGACGGAGCUGGGGGCAGAGCAGGGAGGGAUUGAGGAGAGGGACAGAGCUGGGGACAGAGGAGGGAGGGAUGGAGGAGAGGGACGGAGCUGGGGGCAGAGCAGGGAGGGAUUGAGGAGAGGGACAGAGCUGGGGACAGAGGAGACAGGGACGGUACUAGGGACAGAGGAGGGAGGGACGGAGCUAGGGACAGAGGAGGGAGGGAUGGAGGAGAGGGACGGAGCUGGGGGCAGAGCAGGGAGGGAUGGAGGAGAGGGAUGGAGGAGAGGGAUGGAGCUGGGGUAGAGCAGGGAGGGAUUGAGGAGAGGGACGGAGCUGGGGACAGAGGAGACAGGGACGGUACUAGGGACAGAGGAGGGAGGGACGGAGCUAGGGACAGAGGAGGGAUGGAUGGAGCUAGGGACAGAGGAGGGAGGGACGGAGCUAGGAACAGAGGAGGGAGGGAUGGAGCUAGGGACAGAGGAGGGAGGGAUAGAGCUAGGGACAGAGGAGGGAGGGAUGGAGCUAGGGACAGAGGAGAGAGGGAUGGAGCUAGGGACAGAGGAGAGAGGGACGGUGCUAGGGACAGAGGGACGGUGCUAGGGACAGAGGAGGGAGGGAUGGAGGAGAGGGACGGAGCUGGGGGCAGAGCAGGGAGGGAUGGAGGAGAGGGAUGGAGGAGAGGGAUGGAGCUGGGGGCAGAGCAGGGAGGGAUUGAGGAGAGGGACGGAGCUUGGGACAGAGGAGGGAGGGAUGGAGCUAGGGAAAGAGGAGAGAGGGAUGGAGCUUGGGACAGAGGAGGGAGGGAUGGAGCUAGGGACAGAGGAGAGAGGGAUGGAGCUAGGGACAGAGGAGAGAGGGAUGGAGCUAGGGACAGAGGAGGGAGGGAUGGAGCUAGGGACAGAGGAGAGAGGGAUGGAGCUAGGGACAGAGAGGGACGGAGCUAGGGACAGAGGAGAGAGGGAUGGAGCUAGGGACAGAGGAGAGAGGGACAGUGCUAGGGACAGAGGAAAGAGGGACGGAGGAGAGAGGGAUGGAGCUAGGGACAGAGGAGAGAGGGAUGGAGCUCGGGACAGAGGAGAGAGGGACGGUGCUAGGGACAGAGGAAAGAGGGACGGAGGAGAGAGGGAUGGAGCUUGGGACAGAGGAGAGAGGGACGGUGCUAGGGACAGAGGAAAGAGGGACGGAGGAGAGAGGGAUGGUGCUAGGGACAGAGGAGAGAGGGACGGAGCAAGGGACAGAAAGGAGAGAGGGAUGGAGCUAGGGACAGAGGAGAGAGGGACGGAGCUAGGGACAGGGGAGAGAGGAACGGAGGAGAGAGGGAUGGAGCUAGGGACAGAGAAGAGAGGGACGGUGCUAGGGACAGAGGAGAGAUGGACAGAGCAAGGGACAGAAAGGAGAGAGGGAUGGAGCUAGGGACAGAGGAGAGAGGGAUGGAGCUAGGGACAGAAAGGAGAGAGGGACGGAGCAAGGGACAGAAAGGAGAGAGGGACGGAGCAAGGGACAGAAAGGAGAGAGGGACGGAGCAAGGGACAGAAAGGAGAGAGGGACGGAGCUAGGGACAGGGGAGAGAGGGACGGAGCAAGGGACAGAAAGGAGAGAGGGACGGAGCAAGGGAAAGAAAGGAGAGAUGGAUGGAGCAAGGGACAGAAAGGACAGAGGGACGGAGCUAGGGACAGAAAGGAGAGAGGGACGGAGCAAGGGACAGAAAGGAGAGAGGGACGGAGCUAGGGACAGAAAGGAGAAAGUUCCAUUCAUCCAGCUCUGUUCUGUUCUGUUGUUCCCCCAGGUCCCAUUCAUCCAGGUCUGUUCUGCUGUUCCCCCAGUUCCAUUCAUCCAGCUCUGUUCUGUUACACUGACCGAUGUAAAUAAUGGAUGAUAUAUCAUUGAUCCUGACACCUUUAGGGAAAUCAGGUGAACCACAUACCCUAGGUUAUUGAGUAGCAUGAUGGUUAAACACAGUUACUCAGAACUAGCUGAAAGGUAUUCACGUUUCAGAGAGACAAGGUGAUGUAGGCUGAUAGGGUGGGUGUACACUUUAUACAAGAACUGAGUUCAAACCUGCCUUCGCUCAAUAAGACUGUAGCUAGAUAUAUAAUAGGUGUAAAGAUAUUAACUAUUACAUGUAAACAACAUUUUAGCUUAUAUAUUUCCCCUUUCUGUUCAGUACUAUAUCUGUUAGAAAUGGAACGUGGUCGGUUGAUAUCCACAGAAAUAACCUACAACACAGUAAACCAGAGAAAUAACCUACAACACACACAGUAAACCAGAGAAAUAACCUACAACACAGUAAACCAGAGAAAUAACCUACAACACACAGUAAACCAGAGAAAUAACCUACAACACAGUAAACCAGAGAAAUAACCUACAACACACAGUAAACCACAGAAAUAACCUACAACACAGUAAACCAGAGAAAUAACCUACAACACAGUAAACCACAGAAAUAACCUACAACACAGUAAACCAGAGAAAUAACCUACA